Molecule: non-coding RNA, 166 nt
Organism: Echinops telfairi (small Madagascar hedgehog)
Lineage: Eukaryota; Metazoa; Chordata; Mammalia; Afrosoricida; Tenrecidae
Source: Rfam
GCCUCCUCGGCUCCCGCCCCAUGCGGCCCAAGGCUCAGGGAAGCAAAGUGGCUCAAUAAAAACUUUUGAUAUUAGUUUUUAUGGGUAUUUGCACUCUGGUCAGGAGAGCUGAGUACGGAAGCUCCAUUAAUCAGCCACCAAGCUCAGGUUUGGAUGCUCGGUUGGU